Molecule: ribosomal RNA, 415 nt
Filed under: bacterium 14S413
Lineage: Bacteria
Description: bacterial SSU rRNA
Rfam family: Bacterial small subunit ribosomal RNA
Source: RNAcentral
CAGGGGGUGUUCACUCGUGUUGUGAAAUGUUGGGUUAAGUCCCGCAACGAGCGCAACCCUUAUCCUUUGUUGCCAGCGGUUCGGCCGGGAACUCAAAGGAGACUGCCAGUGAUAAACUGGAGGAAGGUGGGGAUGACGUCAAGUCAUCAUGGCCCUUACGAGUAGGGCUACACACGUGCUACAAUGGCGUAUACAAAGAGAAGCGACCUCGCGAGAGCAAGCGGACCUCAUAAAGUACGUCGUAGUCCGGAUUGGAGUCUGCAACUCGACUCCAUGAAGUCGGAAUCGCUAGUAAUCGUAGAUCAGAAUGCUACGGUGAAUACGUUCCCGGGCCUUGUACACACCGCCCGUCACACCAUGGGAGUGGGUUGCAAAAGAAGUAGGUAGCUUAACCUUCGGGAGGGCGCUUACCACA